RNAcentral lists this ribosomal RNA (525 nucleotides) under Salmonella enterica subsp. enterica serovar Enteritidis. Its description in RNAcentral is "partial 23S ribosomal RNA". It matches the Rfam family "Bacterial large subunit ribosomal RNA", at positions 689 to 1212 of the family's 2925-position model. Lineage: Bacteria; Pseudomonadati; Pseudomonadota; Gammaproteobacteria; Enterobacterales; Enterobacteriaceae. The record is from RNAcentral.
CGGGCGUUAAGUUGCAGGGUAUAGACCCGAAACCCGGUGAUCUAGCCAUGGGCAGGUUGAAGGUUGGGUAACACUAACUGGAGGACCGAACCGACUAAUGUUGAAAAAUUAGCGGAUGACCUGUGGCUGGGGGUGAAAGGCCAAUCAAACCGGGAGAUAGCUGGUUCUCCCCGAAAGCUAUUUAGGUAGCGCCUCGUGAAUUCAUCUCCGGGGGUAGAGCACUGUUUCGGCUAGGGGGCCAUCCCGGCUUACCAACCCGAUGCAAACUGCGAAUACCGGAGAAUGUUAUCACGGGAGACACACGGCGGGUGCUAACGUCCGUCGUGAAGAGGGAAACAACCCAGACCGCCAGCUAAGGUCCCAAAGUCAUGGUUAAGUGGGAAACGAUGUGGGAAGGCCCAGACAGCCAGGAUGUUGGCUUAGAAGCAGCCAUCAUUUAAAGAAAGCGUAAUAGCUCACUGGUCGAGUCGGCCUGCGCGGAAGAUGUAACGGGGCUAAACCAUGCACCGAAGCUGCGGCAGCGAC